This 555-nucleotide ribosomal RNA is filed under the name uncultured bacterium. RNAcentral's name for it is "bacterial SSU rRNA". It matches the Rfam family "Bacterial small subunit ribosomal RNA", at positions 828 to 1387 of the family's 1533-position model. The record is from RNAcentral.
GGGACUGACCCCUUCCGUGCCGCAGCAAACGCAAUAAGUAAUCCACCUGGGGAGUACGACCGCAAGGUUGAAACUCAAAGGAAUUGACGGGGGCCCGCACAAGCAGUGGAGUAUGUGGAUUAAUUCGAAGCAACGCGAAGAACCUUACCAGGUCUUGACAUCGUAUGCAUAGCUCAGAGAUGAGUGAAAUCUCUUCGGAGACAUAUAGACAGGUGGUGCAUGGUUGUCGUCAGCUCGUGUCGUGAGAUGUUGGGUUAAGUCCCGCAACGAGCGCAACCCUUACUGUUAGUUGCUACGCAAGAGCACUCUAGCAGGACUGCCGUUGACAAAACGGAGGAAGGUGGGGAUGACGUCAAAUCAUCAUGCCCCUUAUGACCUGGGCCUCACACGUACUACAAUGGCUGUCAACAGAGGGAAGCAAAGCCGCGAGGUGGAGCAAACCCCUAAAAGCAGUCUUAGUUCGGAUUGUAGGCUGCAACCCGCCUACAUGAAGUCGGAAUUGCUAGUAAUCGCAGAUCAGCAUGCUGCGGUGAAUACGUUCCCGGGCCUUGCACU